RNAcentral lists this ribosomal RNA (502 nucleotides) under uncultured bacterium. Its description in RNAcentral is "partial 16S ribosomal RNA". It matches the Rfam family "Bacterial small subunit ribosomal RNA", at positions 30 to 523 of the family's 1533-position model. The record is from RNAcentral.
AUUGAACGCUGGCGGCAUGCCUUACACAUGCAAGUCGAACGGCAGCAUGGGUGCUUGCACCUGAUGGCGAGUGGCGAACGGGUGAGUAAAGCAUCGGAACGUACCCGGAAGUGGGGGAUAACGUAGCGAAAGUUACGCUAAUACCGCAUAUUCUGUGAGCAGGAAAGCAGGGGCUCGUAAGACCUUGCGCUUUCGGAGCGGCCGAUGUCGGAUUAGCUAGUUGGUGAGGUAAAGGCUCACCAAGGCGACGAUCCGUAGCGGGUCUGAGAGGAUGAUCCGCCACACUGGGACUGAGACACGGCCCAGACUCCUACGGGAGGCAGCAGUGGGGAAUUUUGGACAAUGGGCGGAAGCCUGAUCCAGCCAUGCCGCGUGAGUGAAGAAGGCCUUCGGGUUGUAAAGCUCUUUUGUCAGGGAAGAAAUAGUCUGGGUUAAUACCCUGGGCGGAUGACGGUACCUGAAGAAUAAGCACCGGCUAACUACGUGCCAGCCGCCGCCGUAA